This 253-nucleotide ribosomal RNA is filed under the name uncultured bacterium. Its description in RNAcentral is "partial 16S ribosomal RNA". It matches the Rfam family "Bacterial small subunit ribosomal RNA", at positions 524 to 776 of the family's 1533-position model. The record is from RNAcentral.
UACAGAGGUCCCGAGCGUUGUUCGGAUUCAUUGGGCGUAAAGGGUGCGUAGGUGGCGCUGUAAGUGGGGUGUGAAAUCCCGGGGCUUAACUCCGGAACUGCAUUCCAUACUGCGGUGCUUGAGGACUGGAGAGGAGACUGGAAUUUACGGUGUAGCAGUGAAAUGCGUAGAGAUCCUAAGGAAGACCAGUGGCGAAGGCGGGUCUCUGGACAGUUCCUGACACUGAGGCACGAAGGCCAGGGGAGCAAACGGG